CAAUUUGAAUUUGCAAAGUGCAAAGGAAAGACUGUGAACCUGGCGUUCAAACGGAUAAGAAACCGUAUUGAGGUAUGCAUGAAGUCGUGCAGUGAUUUUGUGAAAAUUUAUGUAUGAUUUAAUGCACCAGCGCUUGCACUGUCGUGGAAGUGCGUACGGACCUUUGCAAUCUAAAGCACCGUCCACUGGAAUUUAUGUUACCAGGCAGGUCAGCAUGAAAAUUUCAUCACCAGCACUGACGAUGUGGAGGGUGAAUGGACAGAGUUCGAGCGUCAUAUGGUACACUUUAGACAGGUGGUAUAGCAGAAGUGGUAGAAAAUAGCACUGAAUGCAGAUCCUUUUCGGCUUCAUGGAUUGGUUCAUUAUGUGAUGUGCGAACACUGAAUUCUAAAUCUGGAGCUUUUUCACAUGAGUUAGGGUUGAGAACUGGCAGUGGUCUUUACUGUGUCUCAUGGUACAACACGCAUUUCUGGAACUGGCGCGGCUUGCAGUCAUGAGAAGCUCUUGCCCUCAGUAUUAGCAGAAGGCGAAGAUGUGCUGCAGGAAGCUCUACACUGCACAAUGCACGCUGGCAAGUCACUGCCCAUUGCAACUAUUGUCGUGGCCAUUCACACUUCCACUUUGAAGAAUGGGUGUAUUGAAGCAGGUAAAAAUAUUAAGAAGUCUGCCUAAAAGUAUCAGACUUUUGAUUUGAGCAAAGAUACUGCUUCAGUUUUGUCAAAAGCUUGGUGAUUCUCAAAGCGAAACAAUUUGUAAGAUUCAGCAGGUAUUCGGAGAAGAUGCGAUGGAUGUAAAACAAAUUAAGGAGUGGUUCGACCAAUUCAAAAAUGGCUUCACAUCAGUGGAGAGUGACCAUUGUUCAGACAGGCCCCAAAAUGCUUGGAGUGCAGCUGUUGAAAGGGUGCAAAAUUUGAUGAGGGCACAUAAUCAUUUGACCGUGUGGGAGAUUGCCCGAGAGGCUGGAGUGAGUAAAGAUUCUGCACAUGCAAUUUUGGAUGAUUUGAAUAUGCACAGAGUAGCUGCGAAAUUCAUGUCCAAGUUGUUGUCGCCUGAACAAAAGACCUCCUUUUUGACGUUGCGCAAUAUCUUCUGGACACCACCUACACUGAUCCUGGCUGUCUGAACACUGUGAUAACUGGAGAUGAGUUAUGGGUGUACGGGUAUGACCCAGAAACAAGACAAUCAUCACAAUGGAAGCAUCCUGAGUCUCCAAGGCUGAAGAAAGUGUGGCAGGUGCAAAGCAAAAUCAAGGUGAUGCACAAUUCCACAGACUUCGAAGAAGACAGUCAGCAUUACGAAUACACACCGGAAGGACAAACAGUGACAAAGGAGUACUAUCAAUGUUUUCCAGUGACUCCAUGGCGCAUUCAGCGCAAAAGUCCAACAUGGACUGUGAAAAACUGGCAACUGUAUCACAAUACCCCCGCACAUUCAUCCUAUUUGAUCCAAAAUUUCUCUGCCAAAUGUGGAAUUAAAGCCAGUUCGCCAACCUCCCCACUCUCCAGACAUGGCUCCUUGUGACUUCUGGUUGUUUCCAAAAUUGAAGACACCACUGAAAGGAUCCCAUUUGAGAGUAAAGAAGAGAUAAUGUGGAACAAGACGACGGAGCUGAACACCAUUCCAAAAGACUUCCAGAGGUGUUUCUGGCAGUGAAAGGAUCGAUGGCAAAGUGUGUGCAAGCACAAGGGGCCUACUUUGAAGGGGAUUAGGGUCCCAACCCCGUCAGGUGUUAGAAAUAUUUUUUCUGGCCGAAGGUCAGAUACUUUUUAGACGGGCCUUGUAGUUAUUGAGGUGUUUGCAGACUAUUUACAAUGUGAAACUGUCAGGUUUCAUUGAUGGAAAUGCUGAUAUUAAUUAGAGAUGAUAAAUGAAAGGAAUGUGGAUUCAGGUCCCUCCUUUCAUGUCCCAUUAUGGAACAGGUCCAGCAAUGUUCAUAGGAGAUGCAGAAGUAUGUGAUGGUUUUAAUAUAAAUUACUUUCCUUUGAACCAGCAAAAAAUAUUUGUUUCAGUUAAAAUGCCUUUUGCAUGCUGAAAAUUAAUGAAUUUAAUUACCCAAGUGCAUCUUGCUUGUGUUAACAAGCCAUUGUUGCUGU
Molecule: long non-coding RNA, 2093 nt
Organism: Schistocerca piceifrons (Central American locust)
Lineage: Eukaryota; Metazoa; Arthropoda; Insecta; Orthoptera; Acrididae
Exons: 4
Source: RefSeq, a predicted model, not a curated record